Molecule: ribosomal RNA, 460 nt
Filed under: uncultured bacterium
Lineage: Bacteria
Description: partial 16S ribosomal RNA
Rfam family: Bacterial small subunit ribosomal RNA
Source: RNAcentral
CCUACGGGAGGCAGCAGUGAGGAAUAUUGGUCAAUGGCCGCGAGCCUGAACCAGCCAAGUAGCGUGAAGGAUGACUGCCCUACGGGUUGUAAACUUCUUUUAUAAAGGAAUAAAGUGAGGCACGUGUGCCUUUUUGUAUGUACUUUAUGAAUAAGGAUCGGCUAACUCCGUGCCAGCAGCCGCGGUAAUACGGAGGAUCCGAGCGUUAUCCGGAUUUAUUGGGUUUAAAGGGUGCGUAGAUGGGUGGCUAAGUCAGUUGUGAAAGUUUGCGGCUCAACCGUAAAAUUGCAAUUGAUACUGGCAGUCUUGAGUGCAGGAGAGGUAGGCGGAAUGCGUGGUGUAGCGGUGAAAUGCUUAGAUAUCACGAAGAACUCCGAUUGCGAAGGCAGCCUACUAACGCGCCACUGACGUUGAUGCACGAAAGUGUGGGUAUCAAACAGGAUUAGAUACCCGUGUAGUC